Molecule: long non-coding RNA, 14769 nt
Filed under: Homo sapiens (human)
Lineage: Eukaryota; Metazoa; Chordata; Mammalia; Primates; Hominidae
Description: HSALNT0143557
Source: RNAcentral
GACUGUAUUGUCUGCUAGACCAUUUAUUCAAAGUGGGAGGAUGAUGUUCUAAAAGCCAAUGAUAAAGCUCAUGGCAAUGCAGGGUAUAUCUGAUGGCAUGGAAUGCUUUAGGAUGGCCAAGAUUGCCCAUCAAAUGCCAAGUCACCGAAGUUAUUAAUGGCUCUCCUACUAGGAGCCUGACAUCAUGGUGAGCAUCGAGAAAGGAAUAACCUAAGCUGAAGACACGCCUUUUCAGGAGGCCAAGUUCCACGUUCUGUGCAUGCUUUUGGCGAAAGUCAGCAUAUCUGAAGGCCCUGACUCAACAGUAGUGGGUCUUAAUGCUUGUGCUUGUCCACCCUUCUCGGCAGUGAUUGAUUUCAUUGUUGGCUUGUUUUCAUGACUUGAAUGUGCGAUCUUCAGAGGGCCUAAUUCCUUGCAAGUUCCAUUUGAGGGUGGAAGAGCUAGAACAAGCUAUAACCAGUAGACAACUCCGUGACUCAGGAGCUUAAGCAUGUGACUAAUUAGUAAGAAAAAAUGUGGUGAAGAUUUGUAGUUAAUAAGAAGGAAAGAAGAAUCACUGGGGCUAGAAUUAUGCAAGCUUUUGUUUCCUUUUGGGACUAUAUCAGAACUAUGAGAGAAGAAAGGCUACCUUUUACCUUUGAGGAAUUUUCAAAGCCUUUUUUUUUUUUUUUGGUUGGUUUGUGACUGACAAAGGGCACAAUUUCAACACCUCAGAAAAAUGCCUCAUCAUUUCCUCUUGUGAAAUCUGGGUGCUUCUGAAUGAAUCCAUGUUAGGAAUGUGUACUUCCAUCCAUUAAAGUCAAUGUCCAGUCUCAUUUUGGGCCAGAGGCUGUUACUAAGUUGUAGUACUGGUGAGAAAAGGACAGAGCAUUUACCUUCCCUGGGUAUCCUGUGACCUACAUGUGUCCUUGCAAGGCAGGGAAAUGUUACUAAUUAAGAGCAUAGCCUUUCGUCAGAUGGGUUCAGAUCCUAACACAUCCUCUUUCUGGUUACAGGACAGUCCUCUCUGAGCCUCAGUUUUCUCAUCUCUAAGAUGAGGCUAAUUAUACCUACUUCCCAGGGGGGUACUAAGGAUAAAGUAACAACACAAGAAAAUUUUUUAUCCUUGAUUUUCUUAGCUGGAAAAUUAGGCUAGAAAGACCUCCAUCCUUGGGGUAUUUAAAAUAAAAGGACAAACAUAUGAUGAGUCUAAGUGAUCAAUACAUUGUGGCUUUUGUACUUACUAUUCUGAAACAUGGGUGUGGCCUAGAUACUUUCCAAAAUUCUGCCCUCUCCACCUAGCAAAAUGACAACCAGACUUACAGAUAUGCCAACAAGCUAGUGUUUAAUAAUGGUGUUUGAUGAUAAAUGGCAUUUCUUUUCGACAUUUGUCUCUUUUUAAAACUUGGUGCUCUUAAAUGCAUCAUUGGAUAAGUGAUGACUGUUCCCAUUCGCAAGAAGAGACCUGGAAUCUAAGCAUGAAGGACCUGUCCUGAUGUUGAGAAGUGUGGAUCACAUUUAUUUGUAAACUUAGCUUCUUGCUCGUCUCAUGGUUGCUUUUUUUUCUUUUUCCUUUUUCUUUUUUUUUUUUUUUUUUUUUUUUUUUUUUUUGAGAGGGAGUCUCACUCUGUCACCCAGGCUGGAGUGCAGUGGUGUGAUCCCGGCUCACUGCAACCUCCACCUCCCGGUUUCAAGCAAUUCUCCUGCUUCAGCCUCCCCAGAAGCUGGGAUUACAGGCACGUGCCACCAUACCCGGCUAACUUUUUUUUUUUUUUUUUUUUUUUUUUGGGAUUUUUAGUAGAGAUGGGGUUUUGCCAUAUUGGUCAGGCUGGUCUCGAACUCCUGACUUCGUGGUCCGCCCACCCGCCUCAGCUUCCCAAAGUAUUAGGAUUACUGGCGUGAGCUACCGCGCCUGGCCUUAUGGUUUUUCUCAUUUUUUCUUCCCUUCCUCCCUCGAUUCCUUUGUUCCUUUUACUCUACCAUGCCUACUGUAAAGAAUAAACAAUAGAUUGGAUCUACUCUCAAGAUGCAGGAUAGAGAAAACCAUCAUUUAUUAAAUGGCAUCUACACCGCAGGCUUUGUACCAGGCACACACUCCACUGUUCCCAGUUAUCCCUUACUGCACCCCUAGAGGUAUAUGUUUUCCCAGAAAAGAUAAACAAGUUGCCCAAAGUCACAUAUCACAUAGCUAGCAAGCGAACAUGGGGCUGAAAUAAAACACUGCCCAAUUCCAAAAUCCAUAUACUUGUUUCUUCAUGUUUCCCUAUGAAAAUGGCAAAGGUGAGGAGUGUGUGGUGUGUGUGCGUGUGCGCGUGCAUGUGCGUGUGUGUUUGCACAUGGAAAAUUCCAAAUAUCACAACUUCUCUAUAGACACUAGACUCAUUCUUUGGCUAUGGCUGUGUCCGUUAUCCCAAACUCUAUCUUUACCCCAGUUUUUACACUUGCAAAAGUAGAGAAACUUUAAGGUCCACCAGCUUUUACUAACCUCCCUCUUGCUCUGAUAGCUGUGUAAUAAUUUUUGUAUCCUUCCCAGUGGGUUCCCAGUCUUUUCAUCUGCUAGGACCAUCUGGUAACUCAUCACCAAACAUGGUGCCUGACAGCAUCACUGGUGCCCUGCAAAUGUCCACCUGAUAAAUGAGUGAAUUAAUGAAUGAAUAAGAAAAUGAAGGAUACUGGCUGCCCCUGGCCAACUAUAUCUUGGCUUUGGCUUGUCAUUCUAGAUUUGUGAUACUGGCUUCUAGCAGAAGCUUAAAGCCUCUUUUUUGUUCUUUUGUUCCUCUAAUGUACUCCCCCUGCCCCUCCACCAAGAUGGGAAGGAGGGCUGAUCUGAGCAUUCAGGUUUCAGAAUGCUAAUUGGAUAGCAGCCAAUUAGAAGUAGAUCCGUAAGGAUUUAAUUAGACUUUCUGGGUAGAUUUGGAUAUUGCUUUCAAAAUGAAAAGGCCCCAAAUCCAGGUUCCCCUGGAUUAUAAUAGUUUUAUGGCUCUGCCCUGCUUUAAUUUGAGGCUAGUUGGCAAUACCCUGUCCAGGAAAAAGGAAUCUUCCAUGUAGUCCUGUCUGUUCUACUGAGGUCUACAUUUGGGUUUUAGCAAACAAUUCAGCUAAUAUAUAUUAUUUUUCUUUGUUCUCAAGGAUUUAAUGGCAAGAUGCCAUUAUAGACAAGAACAGGAUUCAGACACUUUCGUGUUAUGUGUUCUUGUCCAAAUACUGUGUCACUCUGCACUGGCAUCCCAAUCCCACCAACACCUUUAGCAGGAACUUCCUGUUUCAAUAACAUUUCUCAAUACUCUACCUGAUUGCUUAGAAUCCAUGAGACAGCCAUAUUCUCCAUGUCUAGGUCCCUAUCUUAUUUUUGUUGAGAUGGUGUUAAGACUUUAUUUGUGAGGCUUCUGGGGAAGAGGAGUAAGGUAUUGAUCCCACUGACUGGAUAAUUUGGGUCUCAAAAUGGAUAAUAAAUAAGCAUUACAUAUUUUGACCACUUCCUUGGAGGAGAACUUCUUGGAAUGUGCACCAUGUCCGCUGCACUUUUUUUGCACAGAUAUCUAAGUUGGAGAAACAUACUACUAGAUAAAUCAAUUUGUUCUCUUAGUACUCAUGAUAUGGUUCCUGGGAACUUCUGAUUCACCAAAUUAAUCUUGGCCAGGUACAUACCUGGCAGGAAUCCAAAAAUUCCCCAAGUCUCCUUGAAGUUCAGGAUCAUCAUUCUUAAUAAAUACACCGAGGGAAAAACCAUGGAGAGUUUGUCCCAGAUGCUGUGAAUCUGGCCCGGGGUACAUGAAGAAGUCCUUAAUUGCAGUCAUUUACAUGGUAGAUUCUCUAUAAUCAUUUAAUUUGCUAUAGGUCUAUGAUUUUUAGUCCUUCUUCUCUAAAUGAUUGAACAUGUAUAAUUCCCAUUUCAAUCAUAUUACCUGGAUGAACAAAAGUAACGCUAGACUCAUUCAUGCAUUCUGGUUGCCAAGGAAAAGGAAAAAAAAAACAAAACAAUCAACAGGAUGUUUAAACUGUCUUAGGGCAACUUCAGGCCAUAGUCACUGGUGUUCUUGCAGACUAUGAGAUAUUUUACAUUCUGAUAAGGGAUAAAAAUUCGUGCCUCACAUGGCUCCCAUCACACUAAGAUCUUGCAACAAUAACACUACUGAUUCAGACAUUAAUCUUAAGUAUCCAGGGAGCCCUAAAACAUUGUAUCCCACUAGCAAGGACCAUGGUAAUUGCCACGUAAAUCCCCUCCAUUAUGUGGCCCUUAUUAUGACCAGCCAGCCAAGGCUUGCCUUUAAAUCAUACCAAUUGAACCGAGCCUUGUAGAAACACUAUCACCUACGCAUACCUCUGCUUCUUUUCAUUAACCUGCUAUCCUCUUUACAAAUGGGAUUCUUCACCCACUCCCUUCUUCUAGAUUAGCAAUGCCCUGUUAAGUAAACGAACACGAAAUUCAAAGGGAAACAGGAGCAAUCAUCAUUACCAGCUGCCGUGUUAAGCAUUGCGAAAACGCUCACGAUUCACAGAAAAAUCCAUGCUGUUCUUUGAAGGCAUUCAAGCCUUAAUAGCUAGCUGGAUGAAUGUUUAACUUCUAGGCCAGGCACUACUCUGUCCCAACAAUAAGCCCUGUACAUUGGGAAAGGUGCCGAGACAUGAACUUUGGUCUUCUCUGCAAUCCAUCUGGAGCAUUCACUGACAACAUCGACUUUGAAGUUGCACUGACCUGGCCAGCCCUGCCACUUACCAGGUUGGCUCUGUAUGGCUAAGCGUUUUCUCCUAAAAUCCCUUGAAAACUGUGAGAAGACCAUAAGAAGAUCAUAUCUUUAAUUCUAUUUCACAAGUCACACAAUAUUCCAAUCAAAUACAGAUGGUUGAGAAAAGUCAUCCAUCUUCCCUCCCCACCCUCCCACAGCCCCUCAACCACUGCCCUGAAACUUAUAUGCUGUUAUCCGCAGCUCCAUCUGGAGCAUCACAGCUACUGUCAACCCUGACGCUCUUUCUGAAAAAACACCGGAUGGACAUCAGAACUAUUUCUUUAAGGAUGUUACUGAGCCACACAGGAAAACUUGCCUUAUGAUUUUGAAUGCACGGAUCUGAUUUGACUAAACAUGAUAACUAGAGAAUCACCCAAUCUACUCCCAUUUUCAACUCUAAAUCAUCAGAGUGUCUCAAAUCCAAAGCACACACAGACCAGCCUGGCCAACACGGUGAAACUCCACCCCUACUAAAAGUAUAAAAAUUAUCCAGGUGUGGUGGCGGGCGCCUGUAAUCCAAGCUACUUGGGAGUCUGGAGGCAGGAGAAUCCCUUGAACCUGGGAGAUGGAGGUUGCAGUGAGCAGAGAUCACACCACCGCACUCUAGCCUGGGCCACAAAUCAACAACAACAACAACAACAAAAAACAAAGCGCACACAGAGACUGAGGUCCUCUUUGGCAUUGAGAAGAUGGCUAUGCAAGUCCCAACUAGCAAGUGCAAACUUCCCAGCUUCACUUCUGCCAGUGUCCCUUCACCCCUUCUCAACCCCACUGGGAGGCAGGAGGGUGCUUGACAAUAACAGCCUUGGCAUCACUCUGCCAGGGUGUAAUAGGAACUGUUACAAUUCUGAGAUUCUGUGUAAGCACUGGCCUUUCUGCCUAGAAUGCCUUCUCCUCUCUUUUUUAACUGCAUGCUCCUAUUUAUCUUUCAAAGCCCGGAAAAAAUAACACUGCACACGGGAAAUGCUCCCUUCCUACUGCAGUCAUUUAGAUGACUCUAUGCCAUUCCAUUCAUUUCUCUUUCCUACCACAGAAGUGCUUUGAGAUUUUGGAGUCAGACUGCUUGAACUUGAAUCCUGGCCCUCUCAUCAGAGACUUGACUUAUUUUAGGCAAGUUAUAUAACCAAUUUUACCUCAGUUCCUUACCCAUAAAAUGGGUCUAAUGAGAGUACCUACCACACAGAAUUUUGAUGAAAACUGAAUGAGAUGAAGGCCUUUAAGGCAGUGGUCCCCAACCCUGGGGACACAGACAGGUACCAUUUUGUGGCCUGUUAGGAACUGGGCCACACAGCAGGAGGUGAGCAGUGGGUGAGUGAGAUCAGCGUUAUUUACAGCUGCUCCCCAUUGCUCACCUUACUGCCUGAGCUCCACCUCCUGUCAGAUCAGCAGUGGCAUUAAAUUCUCAUAGCAGCACAAACCCUGUCAUGAACUGCACAUGCGAGGGAUCUAGGUUGUGCGCUCCUUAUGAGAAUCUAAUGCCUAAUGACCUGUCACCGUCUCCCAUCACCCCUAGAUGGGAGUGUCUAGUUGCAGGAAACAAGCUCAGGGCUUCCACUGAUUCUACAUUAUGGUGAGUUGUAUAAUUAUUUCAUUAUAUAAUACAAUGUAAUAAUAAUAGAAACACAGUGCACAACAAAUGUAAUGUGCUUGAAUCAUCCCCAAACCAUCCCAGUCCACGGUCUUCCACAUUUUGUCUUUUCACAAAAUUGUCUUCCACAAAACUGGUCCCUGGUGCCAAAAAGGCUUGGGACCACUGCUUUAAAGCCUUUGCAUAGUGCUUAGAAUUGAGGGGGAAAAAAAAAACAAAAACAAUGUAGCUAGUUGCUACAAUCACUAUAUUGGUGAGUUUCAAAAGGAAAAGAAUUCUGUCCCAUUUAUGCUUGAGCCUUGAGUUGCUAACCAAGCCUGACACAAAAUUACUGUUGAAGGGAUGUGUGAGUCCUAAUUGAAAUGAGGCCUCUUAAGGGAAUUGUGGACCAAACCCCAAGCAGGCAGAAAGCCGUAUCUUAAUUAUUGCAAGUAUUUCAGGCAAGGUGUGGAUGGCCAUUUGAAUUCAAGCAGACUAGGACCUGGGAUGAGAAAGAAGGUGUGUACGUGACUUGAUCUUUGAACUUUAGCUCACCAUCUGGAAGAAGGCUGAGUAUUCUCUGCACUCACAUAGUAGCUAAUGCCUACUCCCCAGCCACCCACAAUUCUUUCUGUAGGAAGGCUCGCUAGAAUACUUUGUGAUAUUGGAUAUUAGUUCCAUAUUCUACUGUGUAUCUUAGUUCAACCAAAUUGUAAUCAUCUGAUAUUUAUUUCUUUUAAUAUAAAUAUAAGUAUAUUAAGUCUUGGCAUGCUUGCUCAGUCUCUCUCUCUCUCCCAUUCCUCCCCGCUCCCCUCUCUCUUUCCCAACAGGCUUGGAAAGCAGGCAUCACCAUGCCUAUUUAACAGUUGGGGUCCCUUGGCCACCAGGUGCUGGAGUAGGAAUCUGAGCCCGGACAUGCCUGAUCUGUAAAUUUUGUGUUUUCCCCACUGUGCUGGGCAGAUCACAGCUAUCAGCGCCAAAUUCAUAGAAGGGGCGCCCCCUGUGGUCAAUUGAGGGAUUUGUGUUUGAGGUAGAUCUCAAGAAGGAAUGGGUGGGGAACUUAGCCUAGGACAGAGCAGAAAGGAGCCCUCACUCCCCAAGCACCAACGGCCUCAGUCCUUCCUGCUGACUCCAGCCUCUAGCUCUCACCCAGACUAUCUGCAUCCUUCUCUCCACCACGCUCCUUUGGAACCUGCGUAAAACACAGAUUAAAGGAAUUCCGCCUUACUUCCCUUUCCGCAUUAUGACCAAAUGGUUUUACACUAUCAUUGAACAGUUUAGUACAAAACAUGCCACCUUUUAAUCUAUUCAUUCAUUUAACAAAUACUUUGGAGUGUUUACCAUGUGCCAAGUGCUGUUCUAAUAGACAUAAGCUGUGAGGUUAUGCUUAUCUGAUUCUCACAGCAACAGCUUUCGAGAUAUGAAUUGGUAUACUCAUUUGACAGAUGAGGAAAUUGAAUUCAUGUAGUGAGAAAGGAAGAGCUGCAAUUCAGGGUUACUGGUUUCUCCUGCACUAAGCACUGAGCCACACUAGAAGAGAAGGCAUGAGGAAGACAAAAGUGAGAAGGUACGAGAGAAGAUAUUAAGUAGAGGUCUAUUAGUUCCUCUUAAAACUAUUUAUGAAAGAGGCGGAUGGGGUAGUGGAUGGGAAAGACAGAUGGAUUCAUGUUCUUCACUCCAGGUUUCCCCCCAUUCCCUUCCCUUUUAAAUGCCUGCUCAUUUUUUGGCUACCUUUCAAGCUCUAGGAAAUACUCUGGAAUUCCAGGCUGGGAGGGGUUUCCUUUGCAGAUCUGGCUAUUGUAACUUUACAAGAAAUUGCUCAAUACUUCCUCUCACCAGUUACAAACCACGGUUUUCUGAAUGAACUUUAUGUUCAUUAAACAGUUAACCCUUCAGCUUUCUGACUCACAUUUUUCAUGUUAUUAAUCAGCUCUUAGAGUAAGGUAAAAUCUAGAACAGACUUUAUAUACACCCUCCCUCCCACACACAUAUACAUACAUAAUACAAACACAGACCACACAUGUCCACAUCCUUAUGCGCAAACACUAAGAAACACACGCAUACACAAACAUACAUGUACACAAAAUUAAAUACAUAGCUAUGGCACUUUCACUAUACAUGUAAACACCCUUACACACAUACAAAUGUACAUGCGCGUGUGCGCACACACAUAUGGAAUUAGCUUUUUCUCUUUGUGGGAGGAGGGAAAUGAAAAGACCCAAAACAUUCAGAUUCCCAAAUGGACACGUAAGAACCCCGUCAUGGAAAUAGGUCUGGGUUUUUUUCUCUUUUGAGGGAAGCAGGGCGUUUCUGGUUACUGUCGCCAUUGCCAUUGUGCCCCUGCUUACCAUCCCCCUGCACCGCCCCCCCGGCCCCCGCCCGCCACUGCUAGGGUUUACAGGUCAUCCCUGGAUUAAAUAAGUGAUAUUGUGUUUUUUUUUCUUUGACACAAAGUAAAAUUAUAAUUAAUAUUGAAUAAAGUAAAAAUGAACUCCUGAGUUCCAGUCCCUUAUGUAACACACCUGGUUUGUGGCAGGCACUCAGGAAAUAUUAGUUGCAUGAACGAAGGCUGCAUUUUCAUUAGAACAACAUGCAGUUCAACCCCUUCAUGUUUCAAUGAGGGUUCAGAUACCCAGAGGGCUAUGCUAUCAUCCUGGAGCCCACUCUGCUAACAAUUAGCAGAACGGAAGCCUUAAUUUCCAGAUUCUAGUGAACUUGAUGAGUCAAGACUAUUGCAAUUGGAAAUCUGUUCUCCUCUGCUGCUGCAUUCCCUGCUUAAUACUCAAGCCAGAAACCAGGAAGGCUGUGGCUUGCCUUUUCACUUCUUGUGUCCUGUUUAAGAAAUAUCUGCUAUCCCAAGAUUGCAAACUCCUAGAGAAGGGCUCAACAGUGAGUGCUGAGGCUGCACAGAGGAGGAAGGCAGCACAAUGAUGGAAGGCUUCCUAAAGAGAUUGAGCCUCAUAUUUCAUAUCUGCCCCUGGCCUAAUGGUUGUUUACAGAAUGAGCUCAAUGAAUAUUGUUAAAUAACACUAACAAAGUUGACCUUAGAAUUGGAGUGCCUGGGUUAGAACCCUGCUGGUACCACCUGCUUACUGCAUGCUUCUGAUGUGAGUUCAGGAGAAGACACUGGCAAGGACAGCAAAGAACAGGAGAACACUCUAGCUUCCCUGAUAGCAUUCAAGGUGCUGUCCAAACUGACUGUGAUGGCACCCUCCAGACAGACAGCGAUGCCACAUGUUCAAGAUGGCAGAAUCACUAUCAGCUUCAAUUCCUGAAUGACUGCAGAGCAAAAUUUCUUACCUGCAACAUACACUCUAUUUUCAGCCUCCCUGGACUGUUACAUAAUGAUACAUAAAAAUAUUUCUUGUGUUGAGGCAUCCCAAAUUUGAUUUAUUUGUCAUCACAGUCUAUCCUAUGAAUAUAUUUCUGAUCCAAAUAAUGCUAGAUUCAUGAGAGUUUAUAGUCCAGAGAUUUUUUUUUUUUUUUUGAGACAGAAUCUGUCUCCCAGGCUGGGGUGCAGUGGCAUAAUCUUAGCUCACUGCAACCUCUGCCUCCCGGGCUCAAGUGAUCCUCCCUCCUUAGCCUCCAUGAGUAGCUGGGACCACAGGUGUGCACCACCACACCCCGCUAAUUAUUUUGUAUUUUUUGCAGAGGGGGGUUUCACCACAUUGCCCAAGCUGGUCUCAAACUCCUAGACUUAAGGGAUCUGCCUGCCUUGGCCUCCCAAAAUGCUGAAAUUACACUUGUUAGCCAUAGUAAUAGUUCCUAGCCAUAGUCCGGAGAUAUUUUAAAAACUUUAGUGUGAGUUAUUUCUCUUUGCUAUAAUUCUCUCAUGCAUUUUGAAAACCUUUUCUGCCAUACAGUGGUUUUUGGGAAGUCCUUUUGGACAGACAUAUCACAGGAUGGAGAAACUAAAAAGAGAGAAUGCAUUAAAGAAAAAAUAGUACUUCGUAUUUCAGAAAUUACAAAAGGGUGUCAUGCCCCACAGCAUGGUGGGCAGUCAUUUGUAACCCACAGAACAUUGAGUUUCUAAAAUUUGAGUGUUUUUAACUUACGAAGGCCAACUUUACUGAUGAAGUGAUUACCCCAAAUAUGUGAAAUCCAUAUUUCAAGUACAAUAGUAGGAAAUUGGAAAUGGGUAGGUAUAUUUCUGACUGUCAAAGAGUACAAAGUAAAGAGGGGCCCCUGAAGAGUGACACUACUGGAAAAACAGAAGAAAAAAAAAACUGUUUCUUUUUUUAAAGAGCAGUCAACCUCAAACUUACUACUAAUGACUGUAUUUCAUUUCAGUCUACCCCAGUGGUUUUGUUUCUCAUAGACUGUAGAAUGUAAGCCUUUUUGGUCAUUCUGACAGAUUUUCCAGCACAAAGAAUAUCAGGGGAUUAACUGACAAAUCAUGGGUAUUUUUGGCAAGAUAGUAGAUUAACCCUGGAAAUUUUCUCCAUCUAUGAGAAAAAAAGACAUGUGCCACCUGAGGGUUACAAAGACUGUUGGUGGCUGACCUCAGGCUCCUGUCUUUUAUUUUAUUUUAUUUUUUUACCAUUUUACCUCUGCCCUGUUUUUUUAAAUUAUUAUUAUUUUACUUUAAGUUCUGGGAUACAUGUGCAGAACUGCGGGUUUGUUACAUGUGCCAUGGUGGUUUGCUGCACCUAUCAACCCGUCAUCUAGGUUUUAAGUCCCACAUGCAUUAGGUAUUUGUCGUAAUGCUCUCCCUCCCCUUGGGCCCCACCCCUCAACGCGCCCCACCCCUCAACAGGCCCCAGGGUGUGAUGUUCCUCUCUGUGUGUCCUUGUGUUCUCACUGUUCAGCUCCCACUUAUGAGUGAGAACACACAGUGUUUGGUUUUCUGUUCCUGUGUUAGUUGGCUGAGAAUUAUGGCUUGCAGCUUCAUCCAUGUCCCUGUAAAGGACAUGAACCCAUUAUUUUUUGUGGCUGCAUAGUAUUCCAUGGUAUAUGCCAUGUGCCAUGUUUGCUUUAUCAUUGAUGGGCAUUUGGGUUGGUUCCAAGUCUUUUCUAUUGUAAUUAGUGCUGCAAUAAGCAUACGUGUGCAUGUGUCUUUAUAGUAGAAUGAUUUAUAAUCCUUUGGGUAUAUACCCAGUAAUGGGAUUGCUGGGUCAAAUGGUAUUUCUGGUUCUAGAUGCUUGAGGAAUCAUCACACUGUCUUCCACAAUGGUUGAACUAAUUUACACUCCCACAAACAGUGUAAAAGCGUUCCUAUUUCUCCACAGCAUCACCAGCAUCUGUUGUUUCCUGACUUCUUAAUAAUUGCCAUUCUAACUGGUGUGAGAUGGUAUCUCAUCAUGGUUUUGAUUUGCAUUUUUCUAAUGACCAGUGAUGAUGAGUUUUUUUCAUAUGUUUGUUGGCCAAAUAAAUGUCUUCUUUUGAGAAGUAUCUGUUCAUAUCCUUUGCCCAUUUAUUGAUGGGGUUGCUUGAUUUUUUUCUUGUAAAUUUGUUUUCAGUUCCUUGUAAAUUCUAGAUAUUAGACCUUUGUCAGAUGGGUAGACUGCAAAAAUUUUCUCCCAUUCUAUAGGUUGCUUGUUCACUAUGGUGAUAAUUUCUUUUGCUGAACAGAAGCUCUUUAGUUAAUUAGAUCCCAUUUGUCAAUUUUGGCUUUUGUUGCCAUUGCUUUUGAUGCUUUAGUCAUGAAGUCUCUGCCCAUGCCUGUGUCCUGAAUGGUAUUGCCUGGGUUUUCUUCUAGGGUUUUUAUGGUUUGGGGUUUUACAUUCAAGGCUUUAAUCCAUCUUGAGUUAAUUUUUGUAUAAGGUAUAAGGAAGGGGUUCAGUUUCUGUUUACUGCAUAUGGCUAGCCAGUUUUCCUAGCACCAUUUAUUAAAUAGAAAGUCCUUUCCCCAUUGCUUGUUUUUGUCAGGUUUGUCAAAGGUCAGAUGGUUGUAGAUGUGUGGUGUUAUUUCUGAGGUCUCUGUUUCAUUGGUCUAUAUAUCUGUUUUGGUACCAGUACCAUGCUGUUUUGGUUACUGUAGCCUUGUAGUAUAGUUUGAAGUCAGGUAGUAUGAUGCCUCCAGCUUUGUUCUUUUUGCUUAGGAUUGUCUUGGCUAUAUGGGCUCUUUUUUGGUUCCAGAUGAAAUUUAAAGUAGUUUUUUUCUAAUGCUGCAAAAAAAGUCAAUGUUAGCUUGAUGGGAGUAGCAUUGAAUCUAUACAUUACUUUGCUCUGCCCCUGUUUAUACAUACAUGACUGAUAUGGUUUGGCUGUGUCCCUGCCCAAAUCUCAUCUUGAAUUCCCACAUGUUGUGGGAGGAACCUGGGGGGAGGCAACUGAUCAUGGGGCAAGUCUUUGCCAUGCUGUUCUUGUGAUAGUGAAUAAGUCUCAUGAGAUCUGACGGUUUUAAAAAGAGGAGUUCCCCUGCACAAAUUCUCUCUCUUUGCCUGCUGCCAUCCAUGUAAGGCAUGACUUACUCCUCCUUGCCUUCUGCCAUGAUUGUGGGGCUUCCUCAGCCAUGUGAAACUGUAAGUCCAAUUAAACAUCUUUCUUUUGUAAAUUGCCCCGUCUCAGGUAUGUCUUUAUCAGCAGUGUGAAAAUGGACUAAUACAAUGAUACAAGAGUAGUUAGAACAGUAUUUAUAAAUGUGCCAAUGUUAAUCAACAUAGGAGUUAACGAUUCCCUGUUUUUCUGUGAUUUCUCAUGCACCAAAAAUAUAUUAAGAUAAAAUAUACAAUUUUCAUUCACUAUUAAGUGACUAACCUCAUAUUGCUUUCAAAGGCAUUUAUUGGCACCUACUAUGUGUGAAUACACUCAGCUUGCUUAUGUGAAAGCUGAAUAACAAAGUGGUUAUGUAACUUAAUGAAGGUCCCACAACUAGGAAGUGGUAGAGUAACUUUCUAAACCACUUUCCUCCCAGUUUAGUUUCACAUUCAUGUGUUCAGUCAACAAGCACUUAUGGAAUCCUGAUGCUGGGCCCUACUUUAUGGUAGACACUGAAGAUACAGACUUUGUCCCUGCCCUCAUGGAGUUCACAGUUCAGGAGGGAAACCAGAUUUAAUCAAAUAACCACACAAAAAUUUGCUCGUAAAAUGAAACCAAUGCUAUAAGGAAAAUGAACAGGGUGAUUUGAGAGCAUAUAAUAGGAUUUUAUCAUAUCUGAUGAUUCAGAGUAAUGUUCUCCUAUAGAAGAGAUGUGGGAACUGACAUCUGAAGUGUCAGUGUUAGUUAGCCAGGUGUGGUAUAUAAAAGAUGACCAGCUUAUCCACCAAGAGGUAGAAUUGCUUUCCCCAUGCAUUAAAUCUGGACUGGCCUUUGACUUGCAGUGUCCAACAGAUAAAGUGGAAGUUUCUGCUCUUGCUCCCUUGGAAUAUUGUUCUGAGACUGCCAGCUGAAGAAGUCUAGUCUAGUCUAGUUUAUUAGUGGAUGAGAGGCUGGUAGAAAAGCGAAAAACUGUUGCAGCUGAGUCCCCUGAGUCCAACCAGUUGACAGCCUGCAGCGACUGUGUGAGGCCAUCUUAGAUUAUUCAGCCCCACUACAGAUGCCAAAUAUCUGCAGCUGUAAAAGUGAUUCCAGGCAAUAACAGAAGAACCAUCCUGCUGAUCCUAGCCCAAAUUGCUGGCCAUAGAACCAUGAGCUAAUAAGACAGCUGUGGUUAUAAUAUAUUGAGUUUGGGGUUGGCAUGUUACAUGGCAGUCAGUUAUUGAUACCCUGAGAGAAGUAUGGAAGCUGGGACUGAAUUCUAGGAAGAGGGAAAGAUAUAGGCAAAGGUCCUGAGGAGGGAAGAAUAAACUUUUAGAGAACUGAAAGAAAGAUGAUGAGAUAGAAGACUUCAGAGGGCUAGGCAAGGCCCAAGUCUAAAAGCAGUGUCUUAGAAUCUGUCAAAAAUCUCAUCUUUUUAUUGUUGUUUGGAACAAAGUCUUUCUUUAUUGCCUAGGCUGCAGUCAUGCAGUGGCACAAUUAAAGCUCACUUCAGCCUCGACCUCCUGAGCUCAAGCAAUCAGCCUCCUGACUAGCUGGGACUACAGGUGUGGAUGACUAUACCCAGCUAUUUUUUUUUUUUUAUUUUUUGUAGAAACAGGGUCUUACCAUGUUGCUCAGGCUGGUCUCAGACUUCUGGGCUCAAGCAAUCCUCCUGCCUCAGCCUCCCAAAGUGUUUGGAUUAUAGGCAUGAGCUAGCAUGCUCGGCUGUGAGUUCAAUUUUUUUCUUUAAAAGCAAGAGAAAGUCACUGUAGAGAUUUUGAGCUCAGAAGUGUCAUGAAUAGACUUGCACAUGUGCAUAUAUUGUUUUUUUUUUUUUUCACCAGGCGCAAACUUAUGGUGGAAGGGACCUACAUUAAGCACACAUAAGUAGAAGCUGGCCAGGCACGGUGGCUCAUGCCUGUAAUCCCAGCACUUUGGGAGGCCGAGACUGGUGGAUCACGAGGUCAGGAGAUCGAGACCAUCCUGGCUAACAUGGUGAAACCCCGUCUCUAUCAAAAAUACAAAAAAAAAUUAGCCAGGUAUGGUGGGGGGCGCCUAUACUCCCAGCUACUCGGGAGGCUAAGGCAGAAGAACGGC